RNAcentral lists this ribosomal RNA (609 nucleotides) under uncultured bacterium. Its description in RNAcentral is "bacterial SSU rRNA". The stretch from base 1 to 516 matches the Rfam family "Bacterial small subunit ribosomal RNA", at positions 338 to 873 of the family's 1533-position model. The record is from RNAcentral.
CCUACGGGAGGCAGCAGUGGGGAAUCUUGCGCAAUGGGCGAAAGCCUGACGCAGCCAUGCCGCGUGAAUGAUGAAGGUCUUAGGAUUGUAAAAUUCUUUCACCGGGGACGAUAAUGACGGUACCCGGAGAAGAAGCCCCGGCUAACUUCGUGCCAGCAGCCGCGGUAAUACGAAGGGGGCUAGCGUUGCUCGGAAUUACUGGGCGUAAAGGGAGCGUAGGCGGAUAGUUUAGUCAGAGGUGAAAGCCCAGGGCUCAACCUUGGAAUUGCCUUUGAUACUGGCUAUCUUGAGUAUGGGAGAGGUAUGCGGAACUCCGAGUGUAGAGGUGAAAUUCGUAGAUAUUCGGAAGAACACCAGUGGCGAAGGCGGCAUACUGGCCCAUUACUGACGCUGAGGCUCGAAAGCGUGGGGAGCAAACAGGAUUAGAUACCCUGGUAGUCCACGCUGUAAACGAUGAGUGCUAGUUGUCGGCAUGCAUGCAUGUCGGUGACGCGAGCUACGCAUAAGCACUCCGCCGUGGGGAGGUACGGUCGCGAAGUAGUUAAACUUACGAAAGUAAGUUAGACGGCGUUGAGACGUGCCGACGGACGACGACGAGGGGAGGUUAGG